Long non-coding RNA from Lotus japonicus, 1091 nucleotides. RefSeq lists it as uncharacterized. Lineage: Eukaryota; Viridiplantae; Streptophyta; Magnoliopsida; Fabales; Fabaceae. The record is from RefSeq and is a predicted model, not a curated record. The transcript is spliced from 4 exons.
UCAUAUGAAUAUGUAUGAGAUAGGGACACUUACCAUGACGGUAAGAGGAGAGAUAUACAUCACAACAUUGAAGAUGACACAGACAAUUCUGAAACGAUCCGCUUUAUAUAAAAAAAAAAAUUCAUCAAGAAAGAAUAAAAGAAAAAAAAAAGGAAAAGGAAAAAAAAAUUAAUUAACAAACUUAAAAAGAAAAAAAAACCACUGCAGCCCUCACUAAAACAGAAAAAUUAAAAAUCGUAUCCCUCACACUCUCUCACUCUGUUCAUGUUCUUCUCUUUACGGCUGGAAACCCUAACACUUCCAAUCUCCUCCCUCCGCCCUUCAUCUUCUUCAUUAGGAGCAACCAAAGUGUUUUCCUUCCAGUAAACCGCUCCAAACUUCACUCUUCCUUCGUUGUUCACCAACGCAUUGAGAAGGUUGUCGGGAGCGUAGCGCCCUAACGUGACGGAGAAGGUGCGUUGUGUCACACCGAAGAGAAACUUCCCCUGGCUUAAAGUAGUGGAAAAAUGGAGGAAAGGUAUUGCUUGGCACAAGAGGAUGAUUAAGUAAGCAAUUGAACGUGAGUGGAGUUUCCUAUGAUUGGUGUGGGACCAUGGCUCUUUGGAAUGGCUAGUUGGCAACUUGAAUAUGUGCUGCCCAAAACGUGUUCUCACAGGGAAAGAAACCAAGUCAGCUAUAGAUGAUUCACAAGGGAGAUGCAAGAUGGAUUGAUUUGGUUUUAGUCGUCCAAGGAUUUGCUAGCUACUAGCCCUUCGAGUAUCUUGGAGACAUUGGAAGCAAUCAUUAAUCAUUCUAACUCCUUAUAGUGAAACUGAGUAGCAGACUGUUGUCAGAUUCAGGUCGUUCGGCUUAUUUCGUUUAUAGGCCUCAUUGGAAGGUUGUCAUUUAAUUGUGUCUGUUGUCGGUCUUUGUCAUUCUGCAGCUAUAGGGGAGUCUUUGAGGGGAUUCAGUCUAACUUGUUAUUUAUUGUUUAAAUUUAAGAUUUAGCACAUUAGUGCUGGAUUUGAAAUUUAUGUAUUCUUGGAAUUCUAGUUAUGAUAAAUCUCAAUUGUUAGAUUUUAUUAUUUUGGAGAUAUUGAUAUUACAGGAAA